Biomphalaria pfeifferi is the source of this 260-nucleotide non-coding RNA. Lineage: Eukaryota; Metazoa; Mollusca; Gastropoda; Planorbidae. The record is from the annotation of a GenBank genome assembly.
CUAGAUAGUAAAAGUUUAUUAAAUGAGACAAUCUCUAAAUACAUUUAUAUAUAUAUACAUGGCCAAGGUAAAUACAUUUAUCAUAAUACAUAGCAACAGUAAACAUAAACAUUUACUGCAAGUAAAACUUUUUUUUUUUCAACUAGACUAAUAUAGAAUGUUUGCACAAAAGGUCAACUCCAAAAAAAAAAUAAUUCUUGUACGAUAUGCAUUAUGUCAAGCUUGUAUAUUCCAAAAAAAAAAAAAACAUGCUUGUAAGA